Cyanistes caeruleus (blue tit) is the source of this 842-nucleotide non-coding RNA. The record is from RefSeq and is a predicted model, not a curated record. Lineage: Eukaryota; Metazoa; Chordata; Aves; Passeriformes; Paridae.
CCGCUCCCGGCCCCGCGGUGCCGGCUCUCCUCCCCACAAGUGCCCAAGAUCAGCGAGAAAGGAAUGUGGAAAUGAUGGGGGCUGUGGAAAGGAGAACGAUUAAAGACCAGAGGCAACAGUGGUGACGGCAGAGGUGGGGCAGCUGCGUCCCUGUGUCCUUGCUGUCGGAGGUAGCCAAACCUGCGGAGCUGCGCGACGCGGGCCGGCUGCUUGUUCAGCUUCUCUCCCUGGAACAGGGCACUUCAGAACAAUGCCUGCUCAGAGACCUUUCUGCUAGACAGGGCUGUAGUUUAGAAGUUUAGAAGGUCUGCAGUAUUGCUGAUAUGUGAACUAGCAAUUAAGAGGUGAUAACACGUGUACUGGAAGCCAUUCUGGGAUCAUCUUCAGCAGCACAAGUACACCAAGCUGCAAUAAGGUUCUCCAAAGUGAUGUAUACAACCUCAUAUUUACCCCUGAGCAAGAACUCUCACACAAGCAGUAUCUAAUGCAAGAUUGCUGAAGUAGCAGAGAGCAGAAAAUGAAACAUAUGGCUCCAGAGAGAAGGCACUGGCUGUCAGCACAGACUUCCCCAUAAGCAACAGGAGAGCCCCUGGGGAUGCAUCUGGACUCCCAGGAGGAGACCUGGCUUCAGGCUUCCCGCUGCAGCCUGCAGGUGUAAAACCGAGAGCUGGAAGCGGCACUUCCCUCCCGCAUUUUGGGGCGGGCAGGAGGGGAGGUGGUCCAGCCGCACAAUGACAGAUUAUGCAAAUCCUGGCGGAGCACGGCAUCAAUCAGGGCGGUGGGAGAGGAACGCAGCUCAUCUCCGAAUUCGCCUCCGCCGUGGCGUCCUCGCCAAGCAUCCC